This 497-nucleotide ribosomal RNA is filed under the name uncultured bacterium. Its description in RNAcentral is "partial 16S ribosomal RNA". It matches the Rfam family "Bacterial small subunit ribosomal RNA", at positions 28 to 507 of the family's 1533-position model. The record is from RNAcentral.
GAUGAACGCUGGCGGCGUGCCUAAUACAUGCAAGUCGAGCGAACAGACGAGGAGCUUGCUCCUCUGACGUUAGCGGCGGACGGGUGAGUAACACGUGGAUAACCUACCUAUAAGACUGGGAUAACCUCGGGAAACCGGAGCUAAUACCGGAUAAUAUUUUGAACCGCAUGGUUCAAAAGUGAAAGACGGUCUUGCUGUCACUUAUAGAUGGAUCCGCGCUGCAUUAGCUAGUUGGUAAGGUAACGGCUUACCAAGGCAACGAUGCAUAGCCGACCUGAGAGGGUGAUCGGCCACACUGGAACUGAGACACGGUCCAGACUCCUACGGGAGGCAGCAGUAGGGAAUCUUCCGCAAUGGGCGAAAGCCUGACGGAGCAACGCCGCGUGAGUGAUGAAGGUCUUCGGAUCGUAAAACUCUGUUAUUAGGGAAGAACAUAUGUGUAAGUAACUGUGCACAUCUUGACGGUACCUAAUCAGAAAGCCACGGCUAACUACGUG